CAUGGGAGUGAGAGAGACUGGGAGAGCUCCACAAGAGAGAGAGAGGGCCUAGUAAACAAAGUUGUGCUGGGACGGUAGGCAUCCACUGGGACCGUCCCAGACAGACAGGGCCCAUAGCCCUUGACCGACAGACAGGAUCUGAGCAGGUCAGGGGAUGACGUAAGCAAAGGUUUGGAGGUUGGACAAUCACGGUUUGUGCAGGUGACCUUGCACAGCGGGUGCAGGGUGACGAGGCAGACCUGGUCGUGGGUCCCACCUGCCCCGCUGGACAGGAAGAGGCACAUCUCCCCCAUCCCGGACUCCACUGCCCAGAGCACAUCCUUCCCUCCACUCCAAGUUCGUCUCCCACCCGUUCGGCAUCGUGGUUCAGGGGCACACCAGUCCAUUCUUCAUGGACCUGAAAAGACGUGAUCUUUGCCGCGACAGAGAGGAUUGAAACCCACCGUGGCGGCACGGUAGAUGGGCAGGAGCAGAAGGGGAGAAGUUAGCUACUAAGGCAUGGAGUGCGCCCUCGGUCCACACCGAAGGAACAAAGCUUUUGGGUGGUGGCGGCAGGAGGAAGCAUGCGGGAGGCAGGAGAAGGCAGACGCUGGUGUCCCUAGUCCCUAGCCUGCGUGGCUUCUGUGUGAAAACCUCAGCAGGAGCCCGUGAUGCCUUGAUAAGGACGCGUCUCCAGGCAACUGCUGUUCCACACCCACACGGCCCCUGUGCCUCCCAGCCUGGGAGUCCAGUUCCCAGAAGGAUCAGAGCAGCCUUCCCUUUGGAAGCGUGGGGUCUGAGAGAUGCUAUGGAGGACUUCUUUCCCCAGAGAGAGAAGGGAAGGCAGCUGGGACCUGGAGACCAGGCUCAGGGGGCGGGGAGGGGGGGGAGUGACAGGUCCCAGCAAGCUGGAAGCUGGGCCUAGACCCGUGUCCUGACUCCCUGCCCUGAAUGCUUAGUGGGGCCCUUGCUUUUUCCUGUCUCUAUUCCUAAAAUAGUUUUCUAAGUUUAAUGGAAUCUUGACCAGUCGAGUAGGAUCUUAGCUCAAGAAGGCUAGGCCGAUCACCCAUCUGUAAAUAUGUAUGUUUGGCAUUAAUGGGGCUCCCAUGACCCUCUGUGGAAUCUUGGUGCAAAUUAGAAGCAGCCAUAUAGACAGAUUCAGAAAACACACCCCUUCCCAUUGAACACAGUCCUGCUGUUCUACUCAGGCCUCAAGUUUCCCAAAGCUCUUAUAAUGCAGCCCUGGGUGGAGGUGAGCAGGCUUGGGCCUGAGUGGAGCCAAGGCUCCUCUUCUCAGUAUCCUGAGACCUCGCAGGUGCCCGGUGUGGGGGCCAGCAGAAACUGGUGACUCUGUGAUGCCAAGGAAGACUGGAGGCACGAUGCUGGAUCUUUCCACCACCUGAAUUCUUUUUUUUUUUUUUAAGAUUUUAUCUCUUUAUUUGACAGAGAUCA
Mustela erminea (ermine) is the source of this 1431-nucleotide long non-coding RNA. RefSeq lists it as uncharacterized. The transcript has 3 exons. Lineage: Eukaryota; Metazoa; Chordata; Mammalia; Carnivora; Mustelidae. The record is from RefSeq and is a predicted model, not a curated record.